GGGUGCGAUCAUACUGACACUAAUGCACCAGAUCCCAUCAAAACACCGUAGUAAAGCGUGCUUAGGUGAGAGAAGUACUAGGAUGGGUAACAACAACAUAGAUCUCGAAAGCCGAUUUUU
Molecule: ribosomal RNA, 120 nt
Filed under: Beta vulgaris subsp. vulgaris (sugar beet)
Lineage: Eukaryota; Viridiplantae; Streptophyta; Magnoliopsida; Caryophyllales; Amaranthaceae
Source: RNAcentral